UUUAACUAAGCAAGGACAAACUUGAUAACUUGUCGUUUAAUCAAACGUCACUGGAUCUCUUUCUUCUACGUUCCCAAAUUUUUCUUCUUUCUUCUUCUGAUAGUGUAUCCAGAGAGAGCUAAGAAGCUUGAGACGACGACGUAGAAAGCCAUGUCUUACGAUUAUCUUUUCAAGUACAUCAUCAUCGGUGACACUGGUAGCCCAUCUCUCUGUUUGAAAAUCACUAUUUGUUUAGGAGUCUCUCUCUCUCUCUCACGUUUAUGUUAUUCUUGUUCUUUUUGAUUCGUUUAAGAUCUUUGAUGCUCUAUCUCUCCCUGCUCUGCUCUUAGUUAUUUAUUAGUUGUAUUUUGUUUGUUUGACGAUUGUUUCAUAAUGAAAUCUGAGUUAAAAGACCCUAAUCUACAUUUGAUUCUCUAGUCUUUUCCUGCUUUGGUUCCGAAUCUGGAAAAAGCCAAUGUAUUAAGAAAAAGUUUGAUACUUAUAAAUCUGUAUAAUUCAAGAGUUUAACGAAAUAGAUCAAGAAUUAUAAAAAAUUUUUAAAAAGGGGUAAUCAAAAGAAGAGAAUGGCAACCAAGAAAGAAGGAAUUGAUAGGUGAAAAAGGGUAUUUGAAAGUGAAGAAAUUCAGAUGUGAAAGAGAAUAGUUAAAAAGAUAUGAACUAUGAUGUCACUUUGUAACAGCUGUAUAGAAUCAUGAUCAACCCUUUACUUGUCUUUUUGCUAUUCGAAGAACUACAGUGUUUCCUUUCAUUUCUUUUCCAUAUUUUGUAUUGUACAUUUUAUUUUAAAAUUUUGAAAGAUAAUAAGCCAACUAUUGGCAGUCAUAACAUCUUUUUCUAACGUAAUGCUUAUUCGGAGAUUUGUAAGGAAUUCUUAAUAUUUAUGUUUUUUUCCCUUACAUUUUUAACUCUUUUUUUAAUUUUCAAACGUGUAUUAUGAGCGCUAGUUUUGAUUCAUUAAUAUUUUAAUGUUUUAGAAGUACCAUGCAUGCUUUCUUUUUUAGUGUUAAUCUUUUUUUUUUUUAUCUUUCUUGUUUCAUUACCACGUUAAGUUAUUCUCAAGUUGUCCCCUUUGUUAAAAUGUUCAACACUUUUAUUCAUGCGAUUUCAUGGUCUAUGUAAAACUGCAUCUUUGUAGUUGAAUUAUAGUUUAGAUAGUUUUGGUGGACAUAUUGUAUGUUACAGUUUUUCUUUAAGAUAAAUAUGAGCUUUACUAAUUUGUUUAGAAGAUAUAAUGUCACUUUGAAGGAGUGAAUCUUAUAUAGUAACAAAUUUGUAACAUUACCCUUGCGCUGUGUCAGAAACUCCAGUAGCCUCAGUUAACAUAAACCUCUUUUGGUAGUUCUCUGGGAAUAGUGUAGAAUGGCAUGUGAUUGAGGAACAUUUUUGCAUGGUGUUUGUCUAGUCAAUGGUCAUACAACUUUGAAAAAAGAAAAAUAAAAGUAGAAUAAAUUAAGCACCAAAAUUUCCCAAGGCAAAGAACAAAGUGAUGCACCUAGUCCGCCAAUUUCCAUUGUUUUACCUAACGAACAAGCACAUCAAAGUUAUAUAUGCAAACUGUGAUUUUCAAGUUAGCACAAAAUAUUUUCUUAUAAAUAUUGAGAAGAGUUCGUUGUAUAAUCAGAUUCAACUGAUUGUAUAUAUCAUAUUUAGCAACCAAACCACAUUUAUAUAUAUACUUAUCAUAUUUUAUAUCAGUUUGUGUUAUUUUCUUUUCAGGUUUGCAAGGCUUUCGUAUUAUUUUUCCUCUCCAUUUCAAAGCAUAGUCUUGACUCUUAAUUCGUGGGUGCCAUUGACAUGGAAGCAGUUAAUAUCCACAAGAGAGCCAAAAAAUGGCGGAUUAAGAAG
RNAcentral lists this long non-coding RNA (1845 nucleotides) under Durio zibethinus. RNAcentral's name for it is "long non-coding RNA (DZIB_LNC001080)". The record is from RNAcentral. Lineage: Eukaryota; Viridiplantae; Streptophyta; Magnoliopsida; Malvales; Malvaceae.